AGCUCCAAUAGCGUAUGCUAAAGUUGUUGCAGUUAAAAAGCUCGUAGUUGGAUUGAACUUAUAAGAGGGAAGAGGAGUGAGAAAUUACUGCUCGGACCGAUUAUAAGAGAAAUCAUCAGACAAGAGUAAAAACUUGUAGGAUGAGGUUUACUUUGAGUAAAUUAGAGUGAUUCAAGCAACCUGUAAUUGGGGUUUUGAAUAUUUUAGCAUGGGAUAAUGGAAUGAUUGAUUCAAUUACAACGAUAGAGAAUUGAUUGGUGAUUGAAUGGAUAAUGAUUGAUAGGAGCAGUUGGGGGCAUUUGUAUUUCGUUGCUAGAGGUGAAAUUCUUGGAUUUACGAACGACAAACUUAUGCGAAAGCAUUUGUCAAAGAUGUUUUCA
Molecule: ribosomal RNA, 380 nt
Filed under: uncultured eukaryote
Lineage: Eukaryota
Description: SSU rRNA
Rfam family: Eukaryotic small subunit ribosomal RNA
Source: RNAcentral